ACACAUGCAGUCGAGCGGUAACAGGAAGGAAGCUUGCUUUCUUUGCUGACGAGCGGCGGACGGGUGAGUAAUGCCUGGGAAAUUGCCCUGAUGUGGGGGAUAACCAUUGGAAACGAUGGCUAAUACCGCAUGAUGCCUACGGGCCAAAGAGGGGGACCUUCGGGCCUCUCGCGUCAGGAUAUGCCCAGGUGGGAUUAGCUAGUUGGUGAGGUAAUGGCUCACCAAGGCGACGAUCCCUAGCUGGUCUAAGAGGAUGAUCAGCCACACUGGAACUGAGACACGGUCCAGACUCCUACGGGAGGCAGCAGUGGGGAAUAUUGCACAAUGGGCGCAAGCCUGAUGCAGCCAUGCCGCGUGUAUGAAGAAGGCCUUCGGGUUGUAAAGUACUUUCAGUCGUGAGGAAGGGGGUAUCGUUAAUAGCGGUAUUCUUUGACGUUAGCGACAGAAGAAGCACCGGCUAACUCCGUGCCAGCAGCCGCGGUAAUACGGAGGGUGCGAGCGUUAAUCGGAAUUACUGGGCGUAAAGCGCAUGCAGGUGGUUUGUUAAGUCAGAUGUGAAAGCCCGGGGCUCAACCUCGGAGUUGCAUUUGAAACUGGCAGGCUAGAGUACUGUAGAGGGGGGUAGAAUUUCAGGUGUAGCGGUGAAAUGCGUAGAGAUCUGAAGGAAUACCGGUGGCGAACGCGGCCCCCUGGACAGAUACUGACACUCAGAUGCGAAAGCGUGGGGAGCAAACAGGAUUAGAUACCCUGG
Molecule: ribosomal RNA, 751 nt
Filed under: uncultured bacterium
Lineage: Bacteria
Description: bacterial SSU rRNA
Rfam family: Bacterial small subunit ribosomal RNA
Source: RNAcentral